GAUGAACGCUGGCGGCGUGCCUAAUACAUGCAAGUCGAGCGAACGGACGAGAAGCUGGCUUCUCUGAUGUUAGCGGCGGACGGGUGAGUAACACGUGGAUAACCUACCUAUAAGACUGGGAUAACUUCGGGAAACCGGAGCUAAUACCGGAUAAUAUUUUGAACCGCAUGGUUCAAAAGUGAAAGACGGUCUUGCUGUCACUUAUAGAUGGAUCCGCGCUGCAUUAGCUAGUUGGUAAGGUAACGGCUUACCAAGGCAACGAUGCAUAGCCGACCUGAGAGGGUGAUCGGCCACACUGGAACUGAGACACGGUCCAGACUCCUACGGGAGGCAGCAGUAGGGAAUCUUCCGCAAUGGGCGAAAGCCUGACGGAGCAACGCCGCGUGAGUGAUGAAGGUCUUCGGAUCGUAAAACUCUGUUAUUAGGGAAGAACAUAUGUGUAAGUAACUGUGCACAUCUUGACGGUACCUAAUCAGAAAGCCACGGCGAACUACG
RNAcentral lists this ribosomal RNA (495 nucleotides) under uncultured bacterium. RNAcentral's name for it is "partial 16S ribosomal RNA". It matches the Rfam family "Bacterial small subunit ribosomal RNA", at positions 28 to 505 of the family's 1533-position model. The record is from RNAcentral.